GGACAUUCUCAAGGUGAUGGGGAUCACUGCAGGUUUUCUGGCCACCUUGGUUUUAUUGAUCCUCAUCCCUUAAAGCAGCACAAAGAAUAUAGCUUCAGUUGAAAGGUUCAUGACCUGCAAAGAACUCAUUAAACAGUCACUAAACCAUCAGUCCUGGCUGACUUCUGUCCACUGGAUGCUACAGAGAGAUGAUUGAUCCCAGGCUGGGAAAUUCGCACUAUACAAAGUAUAUAUAACAAAUAAGCAGUACUGAAAUAAGCAGUACUGAAUGUUGAAAAUAAAAUAAAAUAUAAGGUGCAGUGAACUGCAUGAGUAAAAACAUA
Scatophagus argus is the source of this 323-nucleotide long non-coding RNA. RefSeq lists it as uncharacterized. The record is from RefSeq and is a predicted model, not a curated record. Lineage: Eukaryota; Metazoa; Chordata; Actinopteri; Scatophagidae. The transcript is spliced from 2 exons.